CCUACGGGUGGCAGCAGUAGGGAAUAUUGCUCAAUGGGGGAAACCCUGAAGCAGCAACGCCGCGUGGAGGAUGGAGGUUUUAGGAUUGUAAACUCCUUUUGUUAGAGAAGAUUAUGACGGUAUCUAACGAAUAAGCACCGGCUAACUCCGUGCCAGCAGCCGCGGUAAUCCGGAGGGUGCAAGCGUUACUCGGAAUCACUGGGCGUAAAGAGUGCGUAGGCGGGGUAAUAAGUCAGAUGUGAAAUCCUGUAGCUUAACUACAGAACUGCAUUUGAAACUGUUACUCUGGAGUGUGGGAGAGGUAGGUGGAAUUCUUGGUGUAGGGGUAAAAUGCGUAGAGAUCAAGAGGAACACUCAUUGCGAAGGCGACCUGCUGGAACAUUACUGACGCUGAUGCACGAAAGCGUGGGGAGCAAACAGGAUUAGAUACCCGAGUAGUC
This 440-nucleotide ribosomal RNA is filed under the name uncultured bacterium. RNAcentral's name for it is "partial 16S ribosomal RNA". It matches the Rfam family "Bacterial small subunit ribosomal RNA", at positions 338 to 795 of the family's 1533-position model. The record is from RNAcentral.